GCGAGCCGUAUACGCCGAGAGGUGUACGUACGGUUCUGGAGGGAGUGGGCAACUCGCCUGCUUACCUCAU
Acetobacterium wieringae is the source of this 70-nucleotide non-coding RNA. Lineage: Bacteria; Bacillati; Bacillota; Clostridia; Eubacteriales; Eubacteriaceae. The record is from Rfam.